Molecule: ribosomal RNA, 254 nt
Filed under: uncultured bacterium
Lineage: Bacteria
Description: partial 16S ribosomal RNA
Rfam family: Bacterial small subunit ribosomal RNA
Source: RNAcentral
UACGUAGGUGACAAGCGUUGUUCGGAUUUACUGGGCGUAAAGGGCGCGUAGGCGGCCAGCACAAGUCAGUUGUGAAAUCUCCGAGCUUAACUCGGAAAGGUCAACUGAUACUGUGCGGCUAGAGUGCGGAAGGGGCAACUGGAAUUCUUGGUGUAGCGGUGAAAUGCGUAGAUAUCAAGAGGAACACCUGCGGCGAAGGCGGGUUGCUGGGCCGACACUGACGCUGAGGCGCGAAAGCCAGGGGAGCGAACGGG